RNAcentral lists this transfer RNA (62 nucleotides) under Stegodyphus mimosarum. It matches the Rfam family "tRNA". Rfam says of the family: Transfer RNA (tRNA) molecules are approximately 80 nucleotides in length. Their secondary structure includes four short double-helical elements and three loops (D, anti-codon, and T loops). The record is from Rfam by way of RNAcentral. Lineage: Eukaryota; Metazoa; Arthropoda; Arachnida; Araneae; Eresidae.
GGUUCUAUAGUGCAGUGGUUAUCACAUCUGCUUUACACGCAGAAGGACCCCGGGCGGAACCA